UGCGACCCCAGGUCAGGCGGGACUACC
RNAcentral lists this ribosomal RNA (27 nucleotides) under Aglaia elliptica. Its description in RNAcentral is "partial 26S ribosomal RNA". The record is from RNAcentral. RNAcentral also lists the same sequence under 4 other names. Lineage: Eukaryota; Viridiplantae; Streptophyta; Magnoliopsida; Sapindales; Meliaceae.